Molecule: ribosomal RNA, 540 nt
Filed under: uncultured Bacteroidota bacterium
Lineage: Bacteria; Pseudomonadati; Bacteroidota
Description: bacterial SSU rRNA
Rfam family: Bacterial small subunit ribosomal RNA
Source: RNAcentral
UGGAUCCAGACUUUGAUCAUGGCUCAGGAUGAACGCUAGCUACAGGCUUAACACAUGCAAGUCGAGGGGAAACGAUAUUGGAAGCUUGCUUCCGAUAGGCGUCGACCGGCGCACGGGUGAGUAACGCGUAUCCAACCUGCCCAUCACUUGGGGAUAACCUUGCGAAAGUAAGAUUAAUACCCAAUGAUAUCUCAAGAAGACAUCUGAAUGAGAUUAAAGAUUCAUCGGUGAUGGAUGGGGAUGCGUCUGAUUAGCUUGUUGGCGGGGUAACGGCCCACCAAGGCGACGAUCAGUAGGGGUUCUGAGAGGAAGGUCCCCCACAUUGGAACUGAGACACGGUCCAAACUCCUACGGGAGGCAGCAGUGAGGAAUAUUGGUCAAUGGGCGAGAGCCUGAACCAGCCAAGUAGCGUGCAGGAAGACGGCCCUAUGGGUUGUAAACUGCUUUUAUAAGGGAAUAAAGUGAGCCUCGUGAGGCUUUUUGCAUGUACCUUAUGAAUAAGGACCGGCUAAUUCCGUGCCAGCAGCCGCGGUAAUACGG